This 1542-nucleotide ribosomal RNA is filed under the name metagenome. Its description in RNAcentral is "bacterial LSU rRNA". It matches the Rfam family "Bacterial large subunit ribosomal RNA", at positions 1413 to 2925 of the family's 2925-position model. The record is from RNAcentral.
AGUCGAUGGGAAGUUGGUUAAUAUUCCAACACCUUUUGUUACUGCGAUGGGGGGACGGAGAAGGCUAGGCCAGCGCGGCGUUGGUUGUCCGCGUUCAAGCGAGUAGGGAGAUCUCUUAGGUAAAUCCGGGGGGUCAAUUCCGAGACGCGAUAACGAGCUGUCAAGGCUUCGGUCUGACGGUGAAGUGGUUGAUGCCAUGCUUCCAGGAAAAGCCUCUAAGCUUCAGGUAACAAGGGACCGUACCCCAAACCGACACAGGUGGUCAGGUAGAGAAUACCAAGGCGCUUGAGAGAACUCGGGUGAAGGAACUAGGCAAAAUGGUACCGUAACUUCGGGAGAAGGUACGCCGCUUGGGGUGAUCGGACUUGCUCCGUGAGCUCCGGGCGGUCGAAGUGACCAGGUGGCUGCGACUGUUUAUUAAAAACACAGCACUCUGCAAACACGAAAGUGGACGUAUAGGGUGUGACGCCUGCCCGGUGCCGGAAGGUUAAUUGAUGGGGUCAGCCGCAAGGCGAAGCUCUUGAUCGAAGCCCCGGUAAACGGCGGCCGUAACAAUAACGGUCCUAAGGUAGCGAAAUUCCUUGUCGGGUAAGUUCCGACCUGCACGAAUGGCGUAACGAUGGCCACACUGUCUCCACCCGAGACUCAGUGAAAUUGAACUCGCUGUGAAGAUGCAGUGUACCCGCGGCUAGACGGAAAGACCCCGUGAACCUUUACUACAGCUUUGCACUGGACUCUGAAUCUGUUUGUGUAGGAUAGGUGGGAGGCUAUGAAGCCGGAACGCUAGUUCUGGUGGGGCCAACCUUGAAAUACCACCCUGACAUAUUUGGGGUCCUAACCCAGGCCCGUUAUCCGGGUCGGGGACAGUGUAUGGUGGGUAGUUUGACUGGGGCGGUCUCCUCCCAAAGAGUAACGGAGGAGCACGAAGGUACCCUCAGCGUGGUCGGAAAUCACGUUUUUGAGUGCAAAGGCAUAAGGGUGCUCGACUGCGAGAGCGACGGCUCGAGCAGGUGCGAAAGCAGGUCUUAGUGAUCCGGUGGUUCUGAAUGGAAGGGCCAUCGCUCAACGGAUAAAAGGUACUCCGGGGAUAACAGGCUGAUACCGCCCAAGAGUUCAUAUCGACGGCGGUGUUUGGCACCGCGAUGUCGGCUCAUCACAUCCUGGGGCUGAAGCCGGUCCCAAGGGUAUGGCUGUUCGCCAUUUAAAGUGGUACGCGAGCUGGGUUUAGAACGUCGUGAGACAGUUCGGUCCCUAUCUGCCGUGGGCGUUGGAGAUUUGAGGAAAGCUGCUCCUAGUACGAGAGGACCGGAGUGGACGAACCUCUGGUGUUCGGGUUGUCACGCCAGUGGCAUUGCCCGGUAGCUACGUUCGGACGGGAUAACCGCUGAAAGCAUCUAAGCGGGAAGCCUCUUCCAAGAUGAGAUCUCCCCGGGGACUCGAUCCCCCUGAAGGGUUGUUCAAGACCAGGACGUUGAUAGGUGGGGUGUGUAAGCGCUGUGAGGCGUUGAGCUAACCCAUACUAAUUGCCCGUGCGGCUUGAUC